This 1139-nucleotide long non-coding RNA is filed under the name Mytilus galloprovincialis (Mediterranean mussel). Lineage: Eukaryota; Metazoa; Mollusca; Bivalvia; Mytilida; Mytilidae. The record is from RNAcentral.
CUGAAAUAUUCUACUCUUGACAUGUCUUUAUUUAUCAAUUAAAUAGAACAUUCUUGACAUUUACAUUAAAUUUAACAUUGAAAUUCUGUAUAAUAUUAAAAUUCUAAACAAUUUUUAAGUCAUAAGAAACGAGUGACUGGUGAAAAAUAAUGUUCUUCCAAUUCUUGAACCAAUGCAUACAAACAUCAUUAACUUAAGUCUUCUGUGCACGAAUUUAUCAUUUUUUUCGUGUAAAUUUCGUAUAAUCGUCAAAUUUUUUUCAAUCGAUCAGUGUUGUUGUGAAAAUAUGGCAGGUAAUUAAAGUUCGUCUUUUGAAGCCGAAGUUUAACGAUUGUCACCUGUUUGUCAUCAAUCAACAAAAAAUCAACAAAAAAGCAUGGAAAUUGAGCAUGUGUUUAACAUGUAAAUUCAGAUAAUAGUUUAUUUUAAGGACAUCCAUGGGUAUUGUGAUCACCGGAUUUUUACGAGAUGGGUCACACUGAAGUCACUUUGCAUAUGGAAAAUAUGUCGGGAGAAGGAAGCAAUUAAAAUAAAGUAAACUUCUUCUAAAUAUGAAUAAAUUAAAGAAUUUUCAUCAGAAAAAAAGUAUAUUUAUAUAAGUUUUAUAAUGAAAACUAUCCAUUGAGUUAUAAAAAAACAUAUGCAUUAUUUUUUUGAUUUGAGGUUUCUUAUGACUUUAAUGAUAGGAAAUUCUUGUUUUACAAAAUUUAUGUUUUGAAAAUUUCUACUGAAAUUGAUGCAUGCAUUUAUUAAUGCAGUUCUUUGUUCACUGGCAAAACUUUGUGAAAUCUUAUUAAUGUGAUUGCAAAAACUAAAUGAAGCAAAAUCACCACUGAAAUUGCAAACCUGUUACUGACACUUUUUUAUACAAAUUUCCAAAAAAAAUUGCAAUUAUUUCUGAAUUUACAGUAUUUAAAACAGACUAAAACUAAUAGUACAAAUAUUAUGUGCAGACGAUUUUAAGGGUGUAACAAUAACAAUGACAUUGAAUGGUUUUAAAGUUUUAUACCUAUAUAUAUUGAUACUUUGAUUUGAUGAUCUUUGGUCAUAUCUAUAUGUGAUACAUCUUACUUACAUUGAUGUUUUUAUUUUGAUAAUAAUAUGUCAUUUGUAAAGUAAACAAAGAAUGAACCAUGCAG